This 273-nucleotide ribosomal RNA is filed under the name uncultured prokaryote. RNAcentral's name for it is "partial 16S ribosomal RNA". It matches the Rfam family "Bacterial small subunit ribosomal RNA", at positions 524 to 798 of the family's 1533-position model. The record is from RNAcentral.
UACGUAGGGGCUAGCGUUAUCCGGAAUUACUGGGCGUAAAGGGUGCGUAGGCGGUCUUUCAAGCCAGAAGUGAAAGGCUACGGCUCAACCGUAGUAAGCUUUUGGAACUGUGAGACUUGAGUGCAGGAGAGGAGAGUGGAAUUCCUAGUGUAGCGGUGAAAUGCGUAGAUAUUAGGAGGAACACCAGUAGCGAAGGCGGCUCUCUGGACUGUAACUGACGCUGAGGCACGAAAGCGUGGGGAGCAAACAGGAUUAGAUACCCGCGUAGUCCCU